RNAcentral lists this ribosomal RNA (253 nucleotides) under uncultured bacterium. Its description in RNAcentral is "partial 16S ribosomal RNA". It matches the Rfam family "Bacterial small subunit ribosomal RNA", at positions 524 to 776 of the family's 1533-position model. The record is from RNAcentral.
UACGGGGGGGGCAAGCGUUGUUCGGAAUUACUGGGCGUAAAGGGCUCGUAGGUGGUCAACUAAGUCGGACGUGAAAUCCCUCGGCUUAACCGGGGAACUGCGUCCGAUACUGGAUGACUUCAGUUCGGGAGAGGGAUGCGGAAUUCCAGGUGUAGCGGUGAAAUGCGUAGAUAUCUGGAGGAACACCGGUGGCGAAGGCGGCAUCCUGGACCGACACUGACGCUGAGGAGCGAAAGCCAGGGGAGCAAACGGG